Molecule: long non-coding RNA, 1969 nt
Organism: Syngnathoides biaculeatus (alligator pipefish)
Lineage: Eukaryota; Metazoa; Chordata; Actinopteri; Syngnathiformes; Syngnathidae
Exons: 14
Source: RefSeq, a predicted model, not a curated record
AUAAAGUGAAACAGCCCACUGAGGAAAAGUGUUAAAAUGAAGCCUUGUGCCGCAGCCAAAGGCUAAAAGUUUCCCUGGUUAUGCACGGCGCCUUAUCCGGAACACUGCGGCCAUUCUGGGGAAUUUAGUUGAAAAUUGAUGUUGUGUUGCCUCGGAGGCGGGCGUAGAGGUUCAACUUGAAGGAAAGGUCAGCGGCGUUCUUCCAGUAGGACACAAGACAGAUGAAAAGGCCAUGAGAAUUUGGCCUUUUUGCCGAUGAAAGUCGGCGUUGCGGGAUGAGCGCGAACAUCUUGACGGAGCGACAGCUGCCGAGAAGAAAGCAGCAGCAUGUGAAGAGCUUGCAAUCCACCCCUCCCGCCCACGUGCGACUUCCCACAGCCCCCCCCAUCCUCCGCUCGGGACACGAGGCCGGAGAGAUGGCAGCGAGUGGCAUUUCUCCAUCUCUGUUCAAGCCAGCUGCCGACAUGACGCCGGGGGUCUCGCCGUAAUUGCUGGCGAGAUUGACAGCUUGCGGGGAGGAGAAAAAGGAAGUUGCGUCGCGUGGGUGUGGUGGGUGGCCGCAGAGAGAGACAGAGAGAAAAAGACACCUCAAAUCCGUCCCGAGUGGCCGCUAAUGAAUGGAAGUCACGGAGCAGCCCGCUUCUCUCGAGGCCUCCAGGAGCGGCGGCCGUCUUAUCGCGGCAGCUGGCGGUGAAGAAAAUAAGCCACUUGUUGGUUUUCCUGGCUGUGUGCUUCUGGUCAUUGUCACGUCGAAAGAUCCAGCCACGACCCAUCUUCAAUGAUCUGCCUGAAGGAAAGAGUUUGUUCCCCAAAAAUCUCACAAUACAUGGCCGCAGUCAUUCUCUCCUUCAUACAGUGCAGUCGUCCUGUCCCAUGUGCAGAAAAAAACACCCGCAAAGCAUGAUCCUACCACGCCCGUGCUUCACAGUAGGGAUGGUGUUCUUGAGAUGGAAAUCAUCAUUCGUCUGCCUCCAAACACGGUGCAUCACGGACUUUCCAUUAACGCCAAGCAAGGUGUACCUGCGGGUGCCAAUGCCAACGACGCACGCCCGCGUCCGCACGCUGCGGUUUUGCGAUGUCCGAGGCAGGUUGCCGUGAAAUUGGAUGAGCGCAUUCACGCUCCCACACAGCUGAGGAUCUUGAUGAAGGCCCGGCGGAACUCCACGUUGAAGGUGGUGUAUAUGACGGGGUUGAGGGCGCUGUUGACGUAGCCCAGCCAGGUGAAGGCGCUGUAGAGGCCCGGGGGGACCGCGCACGUACCGCAGUGCGUGUUCAGGAUGUGCGUGACGAAGAAGGGCAGCCAGCAGAUGAGGAACACCCCUGAAAAGGUGACAGGUCGUGGUUGCUCUUGGCCGUGCCAUCCUGAAGACACGUCUCCUGGAUAAAGACGUGUUAUGAAAUCAUCUGGAUGAAGUUUUGCAGGAAGACGUAAAUGCGGAUGUAGACCAGUAAAGUGACCAUGAAGGGCAAGUAGAAGGACACCACCGACGAGUACACCACAAAGUCCGGGUUGGAGAUGGAGCACACCAUGGGGUCGUCUGGAGGAAAUGGGAAGACUUGGCACAGUGUACAGAAUCGUUCGAAUAAACAAGACCAGAGGGAAUACAAACAAAAGAGGAAGCGUCAACUCACUGCGGCUCGGCGUGUUCUUGAAGUUCGGCGUUGAGGGUCUCGGGGAGCAGCAGACAGAGGCCCACGGCACUCGCAGGUAUUCCGAAGAAAAAAAAUGACCUUUGGGCACGGCGAUGACGGCGAGGCAGGAGGCCCCUCCGAACAUUAACAAGACGGCCUCACUCCGCCGCCUGCCGAAACGCCCGAUGAGCGGCAGAGAACUCAGACGGGCGGGAACCUCCACCAGGCCGAAGAUGAACUGUGUCAGGUUCGCCAACUCACCUCGGCUGGGCGUGUUCCUGAAGUUCGACGUUGAGGGUCUCGGGGAGCAGCAGGCAGAAGCCCACGGCACUGGCAG